GAUGAACGCUGGCGGCGUGCCUAAUACAUGCAAGUCGAGCGAACAGACGAGGAGCUUGCUCCUCUGACGUUAGCGGCGGACGGGUGAGUAACACGUGGAUAACCUACCUAUAAGACUGGGAUAACUUCGGGAAACCGGAGCUAAUACCGGAUAAUAUAUUGAACCGCAUUGGUCAAUAGUGAAAGACGGCUUUGCUGUCACUUAUAGAUGGAUCCGCGCCGCAUUAGCUAGUUGGUAAGGUAACGGCUUACUAAGGCGACGAUGCGUAGCCGAACUGAGAGGGUGAUCGGCCACACUGGAACUGAGACACGGUCCAGACUCCUACGGGAGGCAGCAGUAGGGAAUCGUCCGCAAUGGGCGAGAGCCUGACGGAGCAACGCCGCGUGAGUGAUGAAGGUCUUCGGAGCGUAAAACUCUGUUAUUAGGGAAGAACAAAUGUGUAAGUAACUAUGCACGUCUUGACGGUACCUAAUCAGAAAGCCACGGCUAACUACGUG
Molecule: ribosomal RNA, 497 nt
Filed under: uncultured bacterium
Lineage: Bacteria
Description: partial 16S ribosomal RNA
Rfam family: Bacterial small subunit ribosomal RNA
Source: RNAcentral